RNAcentral lists this ribosomal RNA (604 nucleotides) under Aspergillus terreus. RNAcentral describes it as "eukaryotic LSU rRNA". The stretch from base 210 to 363 matches the Rfam family "5.8S ribosomal RNA". Lineage: Eukaryota; Fungi; Ascomycota; Eurotiomycetes; Eurotiales; Aspergillaceae. The record is from RNAcentral.
GGGUCCUGCGGAAGGAUCAUUACCGAGUGCGGGUCUUUAUGGCCCAACCUCCCACCCGUGACUAUUGUACCUUGUUGCUUCGGCGGGCCCGCCAGCGUUGCUGGCCGCCGGGGGGCGACUCGCCCCCGGGCCCGUGCCCGCCGGAGACCCCAACAUGAACCCUGUUCUGAAAGCUUGCAGUCUGAGUGUGAUUCUUUGCAAUCAGUUAAAACUUUCAACAAUGGAUCUCUUGGUUCCGGCAUCGAUGAAGAACGCAGCGAAAUGCGAUAACUAAUGUGAAUUGCAGAAUUCAGUGAAUCAUCGAGUCUUUGAACGCACAUUGCGCCCCCUGGUAUUCCGGGGGGCAUGCCUGUCCGAGCGUCAUUGCUGCCCUCAAGCCCGGCUUGUGUGUUGGGCCCUCGUCCCCCGGCUCCCGGGGGACGGGCCCGAAAGGCAGCGGCGGCACCGCGUCCGGUCCUCGAGCGUAUGGGGCUUCGUCUUCCGCUCCGUAGGCCCGGCCGGCGCCCGCCGACGCAUUUAUUUGCAACUUGUUUUUUUCCAGGUUGACCUCGGAUCAGGUAGGGAUACCCGCUGAACUUAAGCAUAUCAAAAGCGGGAAGGAAAG